AGUGGUUAAGCAGUCAUCUGCUAACUGAAAGGUUGGUGGUUCAAACCCACCAACCACUC
This 59-nucleotide transfer RNA is filed under the name Loxodonta africana (African savanna elephant). Lineage: Eukaryota; Metazoa; Chordata; Mammalia; Proboscidea; Elephantidae. The record is from Rfam by way of RNAcentral.